UAUACAAUGAAGAGUUUGAUCCUGGCUCAGGAUGAACGCUAGCGGCAGGCUUAACACAUGCAAGUCGAGGGGUAACAUUGUGCUUGCACAGAUGACGACCGGCGAACGGGUGCGUAACGCGUAUAGAAUCUGCCUUGUACAGGAGGAUAGCCUUUAGAAAUGAAGAUUAACACUCCAUAAUGUUAAUGACUGGCAUCAGUUAUUAAUUAAACAUUUAUGGGUACAAGAUGACUAUGCGUCCUAUUAGCUAGAUGGUAAGGUAAUGGCUUACCAUGGCGACGAUAGGUAGGGGGUCUGAGAGGAUUAUCCCCCACACUGGUACUGAGACACGGACCAGACUCCUACGGGAGGCAGCAGUGAGGAAUAUUGGUCAAUGGAGGCAACUCUGAAC
Molecule: ribosomal RNA, 391 nt
Filed under: Tenacibaculum finnmarkense genomovar finnmarkense
Lineage: Bacteria; Pseudomonadati; Bacteroidota; Flavobacteriia; Flavobacteriales; Flavobacteriaceae
Description: bacterial SSU rRNA
Rfam family: Bacterial small subunit ribosomal RNA
Source: RNAcentral